This 776-nucleotide ribosomal RNA is filed under the name uncultured Neocallimastigales. RNAcentral describes it as "partial large subunit ribosomal RNA". It matches the Rfam family "Eukaryotic large subunit ribosomal RNA", at positions 24 to 649 of the family's 3401-position model. Lineage: Eukaryota; Fungi; Neocallimastigomycota; Neocallimastigomycetes; Neocallimastigales. The record is from RNAcentral.
UUAUGUGAUCGUCUCUCGCAUAUCAAUAAGCGGAGGAAAAGAAACUAACAAGGAUUCCCCUAGUAACGGCGAGUGAAGCGGGAAGAGCUCAAAUUUGAAAUCUUAAAGGGUUUCCCUUUACGAAUUGUAGUUUAAAGAAGUGUUUUCUGUUGAGGUUUUGGUGAAAGUUCUUUGGAAUAGGACAUCAUAGAGGGUGAGAAUCCCGUAUUUGACCUUUACUUUCAACUUUGUGAUACACUUUCAAAGAGUCGGAUUGUUUGGGAAUGCAGUCCAAAAUGGGUGAGUAAAUUUCAUCUAAAGCUAAAUAUUGGCGAGAGACCGAUAGCGAACAAGUACCGUGAGGGAAAGAUGAAAAGAACUUUGAAAAGAGAGUUAAACAGUACGUGAAAUUGUCAAAAGGGAAGCGUUUGACACCAGUGUUGUUUUUCUGAAAAUCAAUUAAAGAACUGUUUAUGCUAAGCUGUUUAGACUUUAUCAGCUAACUGUUUAGUUUUGAGCUUUUCUUUAAUGCACUUUUCAGUUAACAAGUCAACAUCAAUUUCUUUUGCUGUAAAAAAGCUUGAGGAAGGUGGCUUGAGAUUCGUCUUAAGUGUUUAUAGCCUCUUGCCUAUGCAGUCGGAGAGAUUGAGGUCUGCAGCGUAGAUCCUUCGGAGCUAAAUGCAUUUGUGCUAGGUUAUAGCAUUUUAUAGACAACUUGUUGACUAUGAUUUGUCUUGUAGCUUACUCGCUUAUGUUAUUUUACCUACGCUUAGGAUGUUGAGUAGCGACAUACGCAC